UCAACGUCACACCUUUCGACGUCAGCCACC
RNAcentral lists this non-coding RNA (30 nucleotides) under Homo sapiens (human). Lineage: Eukaryota; Metazoa; Chordata; Mammalia; Primates; Hominidae. The record is from RNAcentral.